This 301-nucleotide ribosomal RNA is filed under the name uncultured bacterium. RNAcentral describes it as "partial 16S ribosomal RNA". It matches the Rfam family "Bacterial small subunit ribosomal RNA", at positions 509 to 807 of the family's 1533-position model. The record is from RNAcentral.
CAGCAGCCGCGGUAAUACGUAGGGUGCGAGCGUUAAUCGGAAUUACUGGGCGUAAAGCGUGCGCAGGCGGUUGUGUAAGACAGGUGUGAAAUCCCCGGGCUUAACCUGGGAACUGCGCUUGUGACUGCACAGCUAGAGUAUGGCAGAGGGGGGUGGAAUGCCACGUGUAGCAGUGAAAUGCGUAGAGAUGUGGAGGAACACCGAUGGCGAAAGCACUCUGCUGGGCCGACACUGACACUGAGAGACGAAAGCUAGGGGAGCAAAUGGGAUUAGAUACCCCUGUAGUCCCUGUCUCUUAUAC